AAAGGCGUAAAAAUAUUCCGAUAAAUACUAUCAAUAGAUAUAAAUUCAAAGAAUUUGGCGGUGUCUUAUAUACUCAGGGGAACCUGUUACUUAAUUCGAUAAUCCACGCAAUUCAAUCCAUUUUUAGACACUCUCAGCCUGUGUACUGCUGUCGCAAGUAAACCUCUAAAAGCAAGUUUACAACAAUAACUAACAUUAUAUACGUCAAGUCAAAGUGCAGCCAAUAAAAUGGAGUAAAUGGGUUACAAUCUAUAUAUAGAGUACAGAAUUGAGGAAUAAAACAUCAAUCAAGGUGGACUUGAUAGUAAUAGACACACAAAAUUUCUAUAAACAAAUUAUCU
RNAcentral lists this ribosomal RNA (341 nucleotides) under Enchytraeidae sp. E6. Its description in RNAcentral is "partial small subunit ribosomal RNA". Lineage: Eukaryota; Metazoa; Annelida; Clitellata; Enchytraeida; Enchytraeidae. The record is from RNAcentral.